AGGAGGGGAGGGUGGGAGAGGAGAAACGUGUAAUCACCCAAACAACCAUUUUUACCCAUUUCACCCCCUCUGGAUCUGUGUCGCAAGUCUGCCGUGAGCUUAUCUGUCUUUCACUGCGGAUACCGUGAAGGGAGGCCGGACCGUGAGGGAGACGCCAAGAGAAUUGGCACUUUGGAGGAAAGUCCAUGCAAAACAUCUCCAUCUAUCAUGCUGGCUGGGUUUCCACAGCAGUGUUAUUGACAUAGUAAAUUAAAGGAGGCACACAUCAGGUAGCUGACGGAUCGGAGACAUCAACAGCAAACUUAUAAUCGCAGCUCUGUCACAGUGGGAGGAAGAGAAAAAUCAGAUGCCCAGGAGGUACGGGAAAUCGCAUGCCAAAGACACAUUACUCCUGCACUCCAAUUUGCACACCUUUUCUUUAUCACCUGGAGGUCAAACCGCACCAUUACAUCACUUUGUAUUCACCCAAAUGCAGUGCAGUGUAUUAGUACAUACUGUAUUACAUUAAAGGUGCAGACCUUUAACACAGAAACACAUUUACACACAUCCUAAUCAACAAGCUCCGCUUUAAAUGAUUCAGAGACACGUACCUGGGCCUAUCCAUAUUCUCUGGUGAGAGAAGCUAGGAUAUAUUUGGAACAUCACACUUUUAAGAGCGUGAGCUUUAACUCCCCUGGGUCAUUUUCUGCUCUGGUCUUAAUUGAGAGUGUUCUGGAAAAAUCAUUACUAUAUUAAUGAUUUAACACAAAGUAACUACCUGCUUUUUUCCAGGAGGAAAGGGAGAUUUGCUUCGAAUCAAUACCCAUGCACGCUCAUUAUAAGGGGGGUAAAGUUAUAGUAAUUAGGCAGACACCAAUAACUUUUUAAUGAUCUUUGUUUUUAAUUGCAUAUUAUCGGGUUGCACAGUCUGUGUGUUUAUACCCAAAUAUAAGAUAAUGGUGAGGGGAGAAGUAGAUUAAAGAGAGGAGGCACCUGCAAGGUCUUUUACCUCAGCAACAACAACAGCACUGCCGGUCUGCAGCAUGCAUGGUGGAGGAGAGGAUGAAUGUGAGCAUCUUUUCUUUUUCUUUUGUGCCUUUUCUAUCAAUUUUCUAGUAAAGUUCCUAUCAUGUGUUGUGAAAUAACACUUCCCUUCCUGCUGUCUAUUAGGCUGAGGAAGUGAAAGGACCGUCGCAAAAAGUGGUGUGAGAAGGUUUCAGAGAGAUCAAAACAUUAAUAUGCCAGUUGAAUCAUUGGGUGUUACAACCACCUACUUCCUCUCUCCAAAAAGAUGCCUUACAGGUCAACAGUAAACAAUCUCUGUUUUGAUAUUUGACAUCUAUUUCAACCGAUUGUAAGCAGUCUUGUGUGCCAGUGUUGACUAGAAAGGUGCCGUUUUGCCACUGUGGAAAAAAAGCAAUAAAAAUAUGAAUGCAAAUGAGGAUAAAACGCAGCAGCAAUGGAUAGCCAUCUGUUAGCUCUUAAAGGGGAAGUGGUCUACUCAAAGAAGUGGAGGGGUGAGCAUCUAAGAGAGAAUAGGGAGGGUGGGAGUGAGCGGGAGAAAUGUGGUGAUAGAAAGAGCCCAGGAAUGCCAGUCUGGCAAUCCAGGACGGCUCUGAAUAAGUGAGCCAGCCAAGAGCUUUUUUUUUUCCCCCUUCUAAUUCUGCCUGAUGCCUUCCUUUACCCCCACCCCUCUGGCCCUCCUCCCUCCCCUUCCUCCCUCGGCCUGUUCACUCUGGCCCGCUCCCCGAAACUCCACGGCAGAUUGUCGAUUCAAUGACUCCCCUGUCAGGUGAUUAUCUAGGAGCUUUAAUGUAAUCUUCCACUCACACAUACCAUAUUUCAAUUACGACUGCCAUUGUGAAACAAGCUGCAUAUUCAAUUCAGCAAUCGCCCCGCCGCUGCCUCAACAAUGUCAACUGUAAAAGAACGCCAGCUGAAGGCAAUUAUGCAUGUUUUCAGAGCCAAUUAUGAUCGCUCUCACGGCGGCGGUUAUGCCACGAGCAAGGGAGUGUUUGGAAAUUUUUAAUUUAAUGACAAUAUGCUCAUGGUAGGAUUCAGCGUGCCGCCCCCACUCCCAGGCCUGCCAUCUCGGCAUCCACAGAGGGAACCAUUAAGGCAGAUAGGAGAAGAUUAUGGUCUCUCUCAAGGGCCAUACUGGGAGCACAGGGAGGGUCUCAGCAGUGCAGGGUAGAUGGCAUCCACUCAUCCUCUCUGCAGGAUCACAGCUGGCAGGGCUGAGUCCAAGCUAGACAGGCAGGCUGGUUAGCUCGUCUUCCAGUUUGGACUAUGCCUGCAGAGGGAGCAUAAACUCACACAUUCCCACAGCAGGCCACAGAGCGAGAGAUGCUGUAGAGAGAGAUCAGAGUCCGCUCUGCGGGGCUUUCUUCCUUAAUAUUUCUGAGAGGCAUGUGAGCUCUACAUCAUUGGGUCUGAAAGCUUUCGGAAAAUGGUCUUGAGCUUGAUUUGACUGUCUUUGUUUCAAACUGUGAAAACCAGUCCAAAUCAAUGUGCACGACAAAAAGUUAAGUGAGUAAAAAGUUCCUGUUUGUUCACAAAGUGAAGCCUUUUUUUUAAUUCUUACAAUCUGUCAUUUUAAAGAACCAUUUGGCAGAGAAAUGUCUAAAAACUGAAUAAAGUUGCUAGAGCGCAAGGUUACAUUUACACAUCUAUUUUGUCAAAUAAAUAGUCCCAAAUCAAAAGAUACUCAAUUUAAAAUCAAAAACUGUUUACAUAUGAAAAGCUGGGAAUAAUAUUUUUUGUCAUCUAAUAAAUACAUUUCAAUCAAUUCAAUAAAGUUUAAAAAGAAACGCUUUAGCACCAAUUUAGUAGGAGCAGAAAAAGGUAAAACCACCUUAGAAUAGUAUUUUCAAGAAAUCAAUGCUAUGUCUGCAUAUAUAAUUACCUCAUUAUAACCAACUAGAGGUUAUAGAUUACACCGAUUUUUAUUUUCCAUCACAGCGCUAAAGUAGUCAUGUAGUGACAGAGAAUUUAUCGUCCAUAUUUUUGGCCAGCAGAUUUAAAAGCCCCAUUGUUCAAAUAACAGAAUGCAGGUUAGAUCUGAGCCUCCCUUCCUCUCCCACUGGGAUGUUUGUCUAAAACCCAGUCAGUUCUCAGGGGUAGAGGUUGACAGGAGAAGACAUCGCCCCAGUCCCUGGGAGAUUGGCGAACACAACACAUAUAUUAAUGCAUUAAAUGUGUUGACUGUGUUCAGCCCAGGGAUGCAGGAGGGAGAGAGAGAGAAAGGUUAGGGGGAAAGGGAAAAAAAAGCUCUUGUAAUGUAUGGUGUUGUCUUGUAUAGCGUGUCUGGCAGCACGCGGGGGGGGUUGGAGGAGUGUCGGCCAGAUUAUAAGGCCUGUGGUGAGAGAUGAGGGAUGGCCGACUUGUAAACAAGUGACAAGCGUCCUGGAUGACAAUUCCUAAUCCAUCAUAGUGCUGUCAGCGGUGACCGGUGAGGUGACGGACAGGACCCAGGAGAGGGGACAGCUGCUGCACGUCAAUCCACAUCAUAAUUUGAAAAGCUUUUCCACAUGAGCUGAAACAGAGGGAGAGAGGAAGAGAACAGAACUCAUAUAUGCCACUGUCUGCAACUCCUUCUCCUCAAUCUGCCUCCAUUUCUUCCUCCUCUCUCUUCCCUAACUACUGGUGAAGACAGAGAUGAAGUACUGUCCUCUUCUCUUUCAGAUGGUGAACUGGAAAACAUGGCGUCCUUAAACUUGUCUUUGCUGAUGGGACUAUAAUCAGACAAAGAGAAAGUGCGUCAAGUCUAGCUGUAAAUACACACAAGACACCAUAUUACCUUCCAAGGUUGUGGGAAAACACUUCAAAGAGUUUGUUACUUUACACAUUUACUUAGCUUUUAAUACAAGUUGUUGAAGUAAGUGUUUUUAAUUAUUUAUUUUCUAUUUCAGAAACAUGUUAUUACCAUUUUUUAUUAUGCUGCUGCUUUGAGUAUUUUUGCAUUAGAAGGCUUUUAAACUCUGUAAGAUUUUAUGUAUUUUUCUACUCUUUCAUUUGUUCUAACAACAGUCUGAAUAAAAGUUUCAGCCUUUGUGUUUUGUCUCACAGACUCCACUGCUGUUGUGUCACAAUGAUAACAAUAAUUGCUAAAUCUAGUUGUGUUUGUGUUGUUUGUUUGUUUUCUGACCUCAUUAGAAUCCAAUAAGUAGAAAGGCAAUAAAGUGGUAACUAUUCCUUUUGCUACAAACUGGGCUUGAUGAACGUGAAGAAACAUAAAGGAAAGUGUUGCUAUUAUACCAAAUAAAAAGAUAUUUCAUGUUUUAUGUAAUAUGGAUUAUGCAUGAAUAAAUAUGCUUUUUAGUUGGAACAGGGUUUUCUGCGCAUAUUCCAGAUGUUCAGGAAAGCAAAUUAACAAAAAAAAGUCCAAAAAGACUUGGGUAGCUCUGUAUAAACAGUACUGUCAACACCAAUCACAUAUCAUAUUUAACCAUGUUUUACACCAUUUUGUGUUUGUAAACAAUUGUCCUAAAAUGAGGAAAAGUUAUUAAAGGGUUUGUUUGAAAUUUC
Dicentrarchus labrax (European seabass) is the source of this 4506-nucleotide long non-coding RNA. RefSeq lists it as uncharacterized. The transcript has 5 exons. NCBI's taxonomy places the organism in Eukaryota, Metazoa, Chordata, Actinopteri, Moronidae. The record is from RefSeq and is a predicted model, not a curated record.